This 4522-nucleotide long non-coding RNA is filed under the name Sus scrofa (pig). RNAcentral describes it as "lncRNA (ENSSSCG00060049818.1)". The record is from RNAcentral. Lineage: Eukaryota; Metazoa; Chordata; Mammalia; Artiodactyla; Suidae.
AGGGAGCAGGAGCAGGUGACAGGCUGGAGGCUGAUGGAGGCUCUUUCUUAGGCCCAGGAGGGAGGGGUGACCCCUGAAAUGGGGAGGUUUUUCCCAGGUCCCUGCUCCUGCAGGAGCUCCCUCCCUCUGAGGUUCCAGUGGGAGGGUCUCAAAUGUCUGUGGGUACAAUCUCCGGGGCUGUGGGUGGGGAUCUGUGAGCCCACCCUCUUCCCUGUGUGGUAGAGUAAUGUGCUCUGAAUGCCUGGGUUUGGUAGAAGGUUGUGCAGGGGGAUAUGGUCUGUCUUCUUGUACAGAAGAGAGAUGCUGAGAACCAGCUCAGCCAAGAAUCACGAGGGAAAGCUCAGCAGAAAGAGACUGAAUGAUGUGGUUGGAGUGAGAGUCAUGGACAAAUGGGUGGGCAAGAGCCCUUGCAGAAGCUGGGAACAAGCCUGGGAAAGGAGCGGUCUCUUCACCAGGGGGGCUUCUCCAGCUUUAAAAGGUAAUGCAGCUGGAGUGACUGAUGGGAUGGAUGUGAAGACUAAGAUGAAGAGACCCCAGGAGAGUGGGACACUGAGACUCCCCAGGAGGGCAGUUGGCUGCCCCAGGAAGGAGGGCAGGUCCCCCAGCCUGCAGCUUACACACAGUGGGGGUCCCUGGUCCUGUUGGGAGACCGCUAAGGCUUCUCAGGCCAGCAGCCUGUGCAGGUCUGAGCUGUGGCUGGAGGUGCCGGCCAGCUUGUGUUGCACUGAGUGCCUCGGGGAGGCGGCGGCCGUGGUUGAAUAAGGGCAGGCUUGAUCUCGGAGGCUUCUGAGAUGCAGCCACAGUUCCGCUGCCUGGAAUGAGGCAAAAGAUGCAAAAGGCUGCCCUGGGUCAGGCCGGGCCUCCUUCCCCCUCAUGUGGCUUCUCAAGUUCCGAAGUCACCUUGUGUGGGGGAAUCACCGCACCGAGAGGGACCUGGACAUGGAAGGACCUGGACCUGGAAAGACCAUUGGUGUGAAAGAGCAGAGACCUGGUCCUAGGCCAGGUUGUACUACUACGGACUGGCUUCCAAACCAUGGGUUUAUUCAUUAACCUCUUUGGAUCCUCAGUUCCCACAUCUGUGAAAUGGGAAGGCACCUGAUAGCUGAAGCUACAAAAAAGUCAAACUUACUAAAUAGUAUAAAGACAGGAGACAGCACCCAAAGCAGCCGAGACCUAGCCCACCCUGGCUGAAAGACGGUGACUCCUGUGCCGAAGCAGAGGCUGACAUGGGUGAACAGGACUGCCUGGGGCAGAGCUGUGACCGCUGGGAAACAGGUCCUACCGUAGGCGCUGGGAUAAUAGAGACCCCCUCGGAGCAGCUUAACGGAAGACUGGUGGGCUGCAAACCCAACUGCGGGAAGCCCCGCCUUAGGGUGGGAGGAACCCAAGAGCUUCUUUCGAGUGACGCUUCUUCGUUCCUCUCUCUCGUCUCUCUCGCUUCGGUCUCCCAGAUGUCUUUUCUGCUGCUGAGCAGACUGGCAGGCAGCCGGUGAUGGGGCCCUACUUGGAAGACCCCCUCCUCUGCUGGCUCCUGCGAUUCUUCAGCCUCCUCGUCAGUGUCUACAGCAGUGGGACCAAUGGUGGAGGCCCUGCUCCUGGAGUUCAGGAUUCUGGAGCUCCUGAUCCUCUGCAGGGGAUCCGAGGAGGUUCUGUGCUGUUUCCUUUGCCCAAGAAGCAAGACGCUGAGCUGGAGGAGGUCACGUGGGGCUUUGGUCCUGGGUCAGAGUACAGAGUCCUGCUGCGAGUCCGUCCUGGGAAAGCUCCCACCUGGGUCAGCCUCCAGGACAGGUACCAGCAGAGGGUCCAUGUGCCCAACAUGACGUCCCUGAAGAUUGAGAACCUGACCCCUGAGGACAGUGGGCUGUACCGGGCUCGAGUUAGCUUUACUGGAGGAGUAGAACUUACCAAGGUUUUCCACCUCACUGUCUAUGAGCCAGUGACCAUUCCCCAGAUCCUGGUCCACUCAUCAUCCAUCACACCAGGCUGGUGCAAUGUUACCAUGGAGUGCAGGACCUCAGGGGACACAGAGGACCUGAAGGUGACCUGGGAGGGCAAGGGCCUCCCCAGGGAGCUGGAGGAGAGAGUGACAUCAGGACCAACCCCCAAUUCGUGGACCCUGGCUGUGCACCUGCCCCAGAGCCAGCCCUACACCAACAUCACCUGUGUGGUCAGCAACGAAGUGGACCAGAAAACUGCCACCUUCAACCUUGGGGAAGUCUGUGUCCAUGGUUCACAUGGACAAGCCAAUGCUGUUGCCCUGCCAGGCAUCUUAGGGGCAGGGGCUACUGUGGCUACACUAUUACUGAUCCUUGGAAUUGGACUCUGCCUUUGGAAGAAGAAGAAGAAGAAGAAGAUGGAGACUGCAAGAGGAUUGCAGGAGGAGUCUAAGGACCGUGACGGUGGCAUCCAAUAUGUAGAGCUGAGCCAGCAGGAUUCUCGAGAGAGCACGGACCAGGGUGAUGGUGAACGACGUCUAAAUGAAAAGGAGUCUCUUAAUACUGUCUACAGUGAGGUCCAUAAGCCAGCAAGUGUGCCCAUGAAGAUAAUUUAAUUGGAGGAGGCAGAAGAAUUGACACUCCUAGGACACCUCCAUUCUGAAUUUGAUCCCUGCAGAUACCUGCCCCUACGAGUGCUGGUCCAGCACCAGCUGCCUCUGGUCUGCAUUCCUCUGACCUUUGUGCCCUCAACUCCCUGGGCUCACGUGGCCCUGUCACUUCCUCUGUCAACUCUAUAUGCUGCCUUCCACUCAGGUUCCUCACUCCAGAAGGACUAGUGCUCUUUCUCCGUCAUUGACUCUGCUCCUGAUUCCUCUCCUUCUGAAGUUUCCCUAGGAGGAUCUCCCUACCUGUGCAUGUGUUCAUCCCCACAGCCUCUGCGCUGUGGCUGGUGUGUAUCUUUCUGAGAACAGGAGCCUGGGCGUGGGGACUGUGUGGAGGUUUCGACUACACCAUAGAGGGAGUUAGGAACUUGGAGCUGGGUGUUGAGCUGAGUGUCCAUGGAGGUGGCCUGGAUGGAUGGGUAGGAGCCUACAAAAGACGGGCCUGAGGCGUCCUUUGUAUGGCAAAAGGUGUUGGAGGGACUGUCUAGUAUACAUCAUACAUGGGGGCCAGAGCCCUUGAUCCUGAUCACCCAUACUAACCUCAGCUUCAGCUCAUGGGCCUUAAAUCCAUCUCUCGUGGAAUGUGAAGAGGAAUUUGUAUUGUCUCUGGUCCUUCCAAGCCAACUCCUUUUCAGAGAAAGACCCCAGGAACCCAAUGUUGGGACUCUGUGUUCUUCCCUGUCUGGGCCAGGGGUUCUUGUCAUUAGAAUGGUCAUGCAGGGAGUUCCUGUUUUGCAGCAGUGGAAACAAGUGCUACUGGUAUCCAUGAGGAUGCAGGAUCCAGUAUUGCUGUGAGCUGUGGUGUAGGUCGCAGAUGCGGCUUGGAUCCCACAUUGCUGUGGCUAUGGUGUAGGCUGGCAGCUAUAGCUCUGAUUUGACCCUUAGCCUGGGAAUUUCCACCUCCAUGUGCUGUGGGUGUGGCCCUAAAAAGAAAAAGAAAAAGAAUGGUAGUGCAUGUUCCCCCACCACCCCCAUGGUGAGGCUGCUAUGAGGUGUGAAGGGUGAAACUUAGGGGAAGGUCUGAACCAGCCCUCUCCUGCCUCUUCUACUGACCCUCAGACCCCACAGUCCUGCUGGCCUCAGAUCCUGGGUCAGUCUCCUCUUUGCUCACUCACAUCCCUCUGCCUGGAAUGAUGGAUCCUUUACCCUGUCUCUUAUUCCCAUCCCUGGCUGUUGAAAACCUACCAACCCACCCAAAGCCUCUCUUCAAGUCACGUGUUCCAGGGAGCCUGUCUGCUACCAAGAGUUGGAAAUGUCCUCUCCCACAUCUGACCUUCUUGAACACCAUGGACAUAACUAAGGCCCUUGCUGCUAUCGGCCAUGGACUGGUCAUGCCAGACUUGCCUAGGGCUCCCUCAAGAGGGUGUUGGGGUUUAGGAGGCAAGGACCAAGAAGACAAACACCUGUCUCUAAGCCUCCUCACAACUUCCACGGGGACUCAGCAGACUGAGACCCAGAGCACAGAGGCUGCUGAAGGUCUCACUGGUGGUGAGCCCACUUGGAAGCAAAGAGGGAUGUGAUGACCUCCCAUGACCUUGCCUGGCCCAGAGAUCUGAGGAGGGGCUUCCCCACCCCAUCUCCAGCCUCCCAUUGCCUGAGGACCUGAUACAGCCUGCACUGUGCUGUGUGGGGUCUUCUCCUCCCCCUGGGGGUUUUCAUCUCAUCAAAGCCUCUGCCUCCUGCCUUCGGUCUCAGCUCUUGGGUCAGAGAUGGGCUCGCUCUGGAACGAUGAUCUGUGGAAACUUGACUGCUGGUCUAGAUUCCUGGAUUUCUUGGUUCCCUUCCCAGCUCAGCAAGCUCAGCUGAUUCACCUCUAACUUCAGAAAGCAAAGUUCUGAGCUAAAACCUUGAGCAUGAUGAAGCAAGGCUGGGAGCCUUCUUCCCAUGGAUAAAGGAGGAUGAGAGUUUCAAUAAUAAAGCUGU